RNAcentral lists this ribosomal RNA (253 nucleotides) under uncultured bacterium. RNAcentral describes it as "partial 16S ribosomal RNA". It matches the Rfam family "Bacterial small subunit ribosomal RNA", at positions 524 to 776 of the family's 1533-position model. The record is from RNAcentral.
UACGUAGGGUGCAAGCGUUAAUCGGAAUUACUGGGCGUAAAGCGUGCGCAGGCGGCUUUGCAAGACAGAUGUGAAAUCCCCGGGCUCAACCUGGGAACUGCAUUUGUGACUGCAAGGCUGGAGUACGGCAGAGGGGGAUGGAAUUCCGCGUGUAGCAGUGAAAUGCGUAGAUAUGCGGAGGAACACCGAUGGCGAAGGCAAUCCCUUGGGCCUGUACUGACGCUCAUGCACGAAAGCGUGGGGAGCAAACAGG